AGUAAGGUCAGCUAAUGAAGCUUUUGGGCCCAUACCCCAAAAAUGUUGGUUAAACCCCCUCCCCUACUA
Molecule: transfer RNA, 69 nt
Filed under: Bajacalifornia megalops (bigeye smooth-head)
Lineage: Eukaryota; Metazoa; Chordata; Actinopteri; Alepocephaliformes; Alepocephalidae
Description: tRNA-Met
Rfam family: tRNA
About the family: Transfer RNA (tRNA) molecules are approximately 80 nucleotides in length. Their secondary structure includes four short double-helical elements and three loops (D, anti-codon, and T loops). Further hydrogen bonds mediate the characteristic L-shaped molecular structure. tRNAs have two regions of fundamental functional importance: the anti-codon, which is responsible for specific mRNA codon recognition, and the 3' end, to which the tRNAs corresponding amino acid is attached (by aminoacyl-tRNA synthetases). tRNAs cope with the degeneracy of the genetic code in two manners: having more than one tRNA (with a specific anti-codon) for a particular amino acid; and 'wobble' base-pairing, i.e. permitting non-standard base-pairing at the 3rd anti-codon position.
Source: RNAcentral